AGACCCCUGAAAAUGCUCUGAAAAAUCCAGUUUCCUAUCCAUCAUCUUUAAAAGAUCAAUUUUAAAUGAGAUUUCAGAUUUUGAAUCCCUCUUUAUGAAAAUAAUGAGUCUCCUUCUUGUUGAGAAAUGGCCUUGCAUUAGAUCCUCAUUGGUUUUUGAGAUUAUAUUUGGAUUUCUGGUUUUAUCAAGUGUGCAGUCUUUUAGUGUCAAUUGCUGGAUUGUUUGAGUUGUCCCUUAGCCAUUUUUCCUUUUGUUUUGCUGCUGUUACUCGUUGAUUUCAGAGACACCUUUCUCACUCUGUUCAUUUGUUGUAUCCAGGUAUAAGGCCGAACACCUGCUUUACUUAUGGAUUAUACACAUGAAAGUUUGGAAGCCAUCUGCUGUUAUUUGGGUUGAAAUGCAGCCAUGAGUUUUUUUUUCUUUUUGUCUCUGAUGUUAAUGUUCGUUGAUGCUAUGUAUUGUAUAUGGUUAUUAUCUUAGCAAGUUUGAAAUCUGGAAGUUAAGUGUAUAUAUUCAUCAUUCUAGC
This 526-nucleotide long non-coding RNA is filed under the name Nicotiana tabacum (common tobacco). Its description in RNAcentral is "long non-coding RNA (NTAB_LNC005918)". Lineage: Eukaryota; Viridiplantae; Streptophyta; Magnoliopsida; Solanales; Solanaceae. The record is from RNAcentral.